Molecule: transfer RNA, 64 nt
Filed under: Marmota monax (woodchuck)
Lineage: Eukaryota; Metazoa; Chordata; Mammalia; Rodentia; Sciuridae
Description: tRNA.Leu
Source: RNAcentral
GGCAUAGCUCAGUGGUAGAGUGCACGCUUAGUGUGUGCAACCCUGGGUUCAAUCCCCAGCACCA